AAAGGACUUCCGGUCCCAUAGCAGGUUGUGUUUUCUUAUUAUUAUGAAAAGUAGUUGUAUAAGAGCGACGUUUGUAGUAAGCACAUGGAAUUUUAACUGAUAAAUCAAGUGAAAAGGAUGACUGCAUCAAAAGUAUUGAGUUUUGCGAAGAAAAAUAAAGUAGCUGUUUUGUUUCCAAUUGCAACCUUUUCCUACAUUGUAAACGAUUUGUAUAGAUCGUCAAUUUUUAAAGCCAAAGUUGCAGAGAGAGACAAAAGAUUAGAGGUGGCCCAGACCAAACAAGAGUCAUGAAGUUGUUUCAGAGUGAACCAGUAAAAUAUAGAUUUACACACUUGACUCCUCUCCAAAGAACGAGAACUUUGACGGCCUUUUAUGUAACAAUUCUCCCAUUCUGUUUCUUUGCAAAAUACGCGGAGAGGAAAUAUUUUCAAGAUCCUUUGGACAAGCAUUUGAAUAAGAGUAAACUCUUUGGGGGGCGUAAAUUGUAUCCAGAUACAUGGACUGGAGCAUUGUGGUGAAAUGUUGUGUUAAUACCAAUUUGAUUAAAAAUAAAGAUAUGUGAACUUACCAAACCA
Molecule: long non-coding RNA, 575 nt
Organism: Magallana angulata
Lineage: Eukaryota; Metazoa; Mollusca; Bivalvia; Ostreida; Ostreidae
Exons: 3
Source: RefSeq, a predicted model, not a curated record